Molecule: ribosomal RNA, 401 nt
Filed under: Salmonella enterica
Lineage: Bacteria; Pseudomonadati; Pseudomonadota; Gammaproteobacteria; Enterobacterales; Enterobacteriaceae
Also listed under: 1 other name
Description: bacterial SSU rRNA
Rfam family: Bacterial small subunit ribosomal RNA
Source: RNAcentral
AAAUUGAAGAGUUUGAUCAUGGCUCAGAUUGAACGCUGGCGGCAGGCCUAACACAUGCAAGUCGAACGGUAACAGGAAGCAGCUUGCUGCUUUGCUGACGAGUGGCGGACGGGUGAGUAAUGUCUGGGAAACUGCCUGAUGGAGGGGGAUAACUACUGGAAACGGUGGCUAAUACCGCAUAACGUCGCAAGACCAAAGAGGGGGACCUUCGGGCCUCUUGCCAUCAGAUGUGCCCAGAUGGGAUUAGCUAGUUGGUGAGGUAACGGCUCACCAAGGCGACGAUCCCUAGCUGGUCUGAGAGGAUGACCAGCCACACUGGAACUGAGACACGGUCCAGACUCCUACGGGAGGCAGCAGUGGGGAAUAUUGCACAAUGGGCGCAAGCCUGAUGCAGCCAUGCC